RNAcentral lists this transfer RNA (73 nucleotides) under Nectria cinnabarina. RNAcentral's name for it is "tRNA-Gln". It matches the Rfam family "tRNA". From Rfam's summary of the family: Transfer RNA (tRNA) molecules are approximately 80 nucleotides in length. Their secondary structure includes four short double-helical elements and three loops (D, anti-codon, and T loops). Further hydrogen bonds mediate the characteristic L-shaped molecular structure. tRNAs have two regions of fundamental functional importance: the anti-codon, which is responsible for specific mRNA codon recognition, and the 3' end, to which the tRNAs corresponding amino acid is attached (by aminoacyl-tRNA synthetases). tRNAs cope with the degeneracy of the genetic code in two manners: having more than one tRNA (with a specific anti-codon) for a particular amino acid; and 'wobble' base-pairing, i.e. permitting non-standard base-pairing at the 3rd anti-codon position. The record is from RNAcentral. Lineage: Eukaryota; Fungi; Ascomycota; Sordariomycetes; Hypocreales; Nectriaceae.
UAUCCUGUAGAUUAAUGGGUAAAUCAUAAAUUUUUGGUAUUUAAUAGUGGGUGUUCGAAUCACCCCAGGAUAA